ACUCGAAAAGCUAUGUUAUGGGCACGUUUGUUGGAA
RNAcentral lists this small RNA (36 nucleotides) under Bombyx mori (domestic silkworm). Its description in RNAcentral is "ovarian small RNA-11667". Lineage: Eukaryota; Metazoa; Arthropoda; Insecta; Lepidoptera; Bombycidae. The record is from RNAcentral.